This 208-nucleotide ribosomal RNA is filed under the name uncultured Treponema sp. RNAcentral's name for it is "partial 16S ribosomal RNA". It matches the Rfam family "Bacterial small subunit ribosomal RNA", at positions 568 to 775 of the family's 1533-position model. Lineage: Bacteria; Pseudomonadati; Spirochaetota; Spirochaetia; Treponematales; Treponemataceae. The record is from RNAcentral.
CAUGUAGGCGGUUUUGUAAGCCUGGUGUGAAAUCCUGCAGCUUAACUGUAGAAUUGCAUUGGGUACUGCAAGACUUGAAUCACGGAGGGGAAACUAGAAUUCCAGGUGUAGGGGUGGAAUCUGUAGAUAUCUGGAAGAAUACCGGUGGCGAAGGCGGGUUUCUAGCCGAUGAUUGACGCUGAGGUGCGAAAGUGCGGGGAGCAAACAG